RNAcentral lists this ribosomal RNA (497 nucleotides) under uncultured bacterium. RNAcentral's name for it is "partial 16S ribosomal RNA". It matches the Rfam family "Bacterial small subunit ribosomal RNA", at positions 28 to 507 of the family's 1533-position model. The record is from RNAcentral.
GAUGAACGCUGGCGGCGUGCCUAAUACAUGCAAGUCGAGCGAACAGACGAGGAGCUUGCUCCUCUGACGUUAGCGGCGGACGGGUGAGUAACACGUGGAUAACCUACCUAUAAGACUGGGAUAACUUCGGGAAACCGGAGCUAAUACCGGAUAAUAUAUUGAACCGCAUGGUUCAAUAGUGAAAGACGGUUUUGCUGUCACUUAUAGAUGGAUCCGCGCCGCAUUAGCUAGUUGGUAAGGUAACGGCUUACCAAGGCAACGAUGCGUAGCCGACCUGAGAGGGUGAUCAGCCACACUGGAACUGAGACACGGUCCAGACUCCUACGGGAGGCAGCAGUAGGGAAUCUUCCGCAAUGGGCGAAAGCCUGACGGAGCAACGCCGCGUGAGUGAUGAAGGUCUUCGGAUCGUAAAACUCUGUCAUUAGGGAAGAACAAAUGUGUAAGUAACUAUGCACGUCUUGACGGUACCUAAUCAGAAAGCCACGGCUAACUACGUG